UCCCUUCACCUCAAGUCACCUCAGUCAUUGCUGUAAAUCUCAAUCAAAAAUCCCUCAGCCUUGCUUUAAAUGGCUUCGUACACAGACACUUGCUGUUGCAGCCUUUCACUCGGCCGUCUUUACUAUUUCUAAUUGAUAGUACCCUCUUCCCCAUCCCCGUUAGGGAUGGAAUUGUUCCAUCCCAUUAUGACUUAUUUUUUUAAGUAUAACCACUGGCCUCCCUUACCUAGAUACCCACCCUUUCUCUCUUCUCGCCCUCCCACUGAAUUUUACUGUCAAGUUAUAUUUUUAAAAGGUGACUUAUAUAAUGAGCCGGAAGAGUAGCUCUCUUUCCUCUCCUCUCAUUAUCACCUCCUUUUCGCCCUCUUUUUCGAUUUUGUUUUUGUUAUUUGAGUUCCUGUUUCUUCUGCAAAAGUUCCUCUCUUUUUUGAGUUUUUUCUUUUCCCGUUUGCUUUCUCUCGGCUUCGACUCCUGGGUCUUAACUAUCCUCUGUCAGACACCCUAUUUACUGCUCUCUGCCACCCUCUCUUCGUAUGGUAUUCACACCUAACCUGAUUUGCCGCUUCUUCUUUGUCACUUGCCAUUACUGUUACUUGUACCCCCUUUGUCACUUCUGCGUCACCAAGUACUGCCGCUAUUACUACCUCCCUGCCCCUCCUUCUGCGCCCAUUUCUUGCUGUGUCUAUUUCAUUUUCUGCUCUUAACCCCUCUCUCUCUCUCCCAUGGCUACUCAACUCGGCCGCUGUCCCUCCGUUCCCUCCCUACCCCCUCCCUCCCCCAAGUCGCCGCCGGACUACCCUGAUUUGUACGGCAAGCGCCGCGAGACCGCCAGAGUCCAGAUGCUCGAGAGGGAGAUCAGUUUUCUUGAGGAGGAAUUGAAAUCUGUAGAAGCCCAUCAACCGGCUUCGAGAUGCUGCAAAGAGAUUGCCGAUUUUGUGGUGGCAAACUCAGAUCCUCUGCUACCCACAAAUAAGAAAGAGCGCCGGUCAUGUGGCUUCUGGAAGUGGCUCAGAGGGAUGGCGUGUUGGAAGGUAUCGUGGAUGUGGUGUUGGUGCUGUGAAGAGUGUUGCUAUGGUAAUCUAAAAUGGCGACGCAGGUGCAAGCCAAAGCAGAGGUGGGCAUGUAGUGGUGGUAGUGGCAGUAGUUGUUGUAAUGCGUGUUGGUCAUGUCCAAGACCAAAAUCAGAUUGCUGCUGCUGCAUUCCCCAAAGUUGUUGCAGUUUUCAAUGUGAUUCCUGCCCUUCUUGCUGCACUUGCAAAUGUUCUUGCUCUUGCUCCUGCCCAAAGGUACGCCCGUGUUGCUCUUGUACAAACUCCUGCUGCUGCUGGAACCCCUGCCGUUUAUGUUGCUAGUCUCUAAUUCUCAAACUCUUGGGCCUUGUUCCUCAGCUCCUUCUUCAAACCCCGUUUACUGCUUCCCGUGUACAUAUUAUUAUUAUUAUGUUUUGUCAGCCAAUGCCCAAUAGUUCCCUUUUCGUUUUCAAAUUUGAAUUCAUCAUGUGGUCCUACAUCAAUGGUGGUGCUUGAUUAAAAUACAAGUGGCAGCAACAUGUGUGACUUCCAUCCACUCCUUUUCUUCCUGCGCACAACAAUGUCCUUUCAUUCAGUACAUUUCACGGAUAUUAACCAUUCUGGCCCGGCAAAGGAAGCGUUCGCUCGGAAUUGACGACAUCCCCAUUCUGGUAAAAUUUCGGGCGAGGGUGCGGCUCAAUCAUAAUUGCGGUGGCCACCGCAGCUUGAAACAACAGAUGUAACUUUUGAGAAGGCCCCAAAGAACACUGUCGACGGCAGUCAUGGCUUCUUGCCAAAGGAGAGACUCGUGGAAAGCAAAAUUGAGCUUGAAGGGCAUCUAGUGAAACCAUGAAACGGGGUUGUUGCAUCAUGUGAGUUCUUAUUGGCCAUAGAUGUCAUGUAAUUAACGGUGAUGAACAUGGGAGAGGAGGAAAAGAGGAUGGAAAAAUAAGAGGAGAGGUUCAUUGCCCACCAAAAAAAAAUUGACAACAAUUAUGUGUUGUCGAAAGUCUAACUUUUUGUGAUGAUUUUAGCUAAUCUUUAUUACAAAUUUAAGUUUAAAAGUCAUUGUUGUAAGUUUACAAUCAUCAAUCAUCGGUGAUUUUAAUUGUCAUCCUUGAA
Molecule: RNA transcript, 2132 nt
Organism: Prosopis cineraria
Lineage: Eukaryota; Viridiplantae; Streptophyta; Magnoliopsida; Fabales; Fabaceae
Gene name: guanine nucleotide-binding protein subunit gamma 3-like
Exons: 6
Source: RefSeq, a predicted model, not a curated record